This 65-nucleotide transfer RNA is filed under the name Tropidurus spinulosus. RNAcentral describes it as "tRNA-Cys". Lineage: Eukaryota; Metazoa; Chordata; Lepidosauria; Squamata; Tropiduridae. The record is from RNAcentral.
AAGCCCCGGAGCUCUUUAGGAGCUCUUUUUCAAACUUGCAUUUUGACGUGGUCCACUUCGGGGCU